RNAcentral lists this ribosomal RNA (197 nucleotides) under uncultured bacterium. Its description in RNAcentral is "partial 16S ribosomal RNA". It matches the Rfam family "Bacterial small subunit ribosomal RNA", at positions 1303 to 1500 of the family's 1533-position model. The record is from RNAcentral.
GGCUGAAAUUCGCCUUCAUGAAGUCGGAAUUGCUAGUAAUGGCAGGUCAGCAUACUGCCGUGAAUACGUUCCCGGGCCUUGUACACACCGCCCGUCACACCAUGAGAGUUGGAGAUACCCGAAGCCUAUGAGCUAACUUUUAGAGGCAGUAGUCGAAGGUAGAAUCAAUGAUUGGGGUGAAGUCGUAACAAGGUAUC